This 376-nucleotide ribosomal RNA is filed under the name uncultured bacterium. Its description in RNAcentral is "bacterial SSU rRNA". It matches the Rfam family "Bacterial small subunit ribosomal RNA", at positions 524 to 898 of the family's 1533-position model. The record is from RNAcentral.
UACGUAGGGGGCGAGCGUUGUCCGGAAUCAUUGGGCGUAAAGAGCGUGUAGGCGGACUGGAAGGUCUGGUGUGAAAGCCCGGGGCUCAACCCCGGAGGGUCACCGGAAACCGACAGUCUUGAAUCUGGAAGAGGAGAGUGGAAUUCCUGGUGUAGCGGUGGAAUGCGCAGAUAUCAGGAGGAACACCAAUGGCGAAGGCAGCUCUCUGGUACAUGAUUGACGCUGAGACGCGAAAGCGUGGGGAGCGAACAGGAUUAGAUACCCUGGUAGUCCACGCCGUAAACGAUGGGUGCUAGGUGUGGGAGGUGUCGACUCCUUCCGUGCCGAAGCUAACGCAUUAAGCACCCCGCCUGGGGAGUACGGCCGCAAGGCUAAA